RNAcentral lists this ribosomal RNA (253 nucleotides) under uncultured bacterium. Its description in RNAcentral is "partial 16S ribosomal RNA". It matches the Rfam family "Bacterial small subunit ribosomal RNA", at positions 524 to 776 of the family's 1533-position model. The record is from RNAcentral.
UACGCAGGGUGCGAGCGUUAAUCGGAAUUACUGGGCGUAAAGCGUGCGCAGGCGGUUCGUCGUGUCCGAUGUGAAAGCCCCGGGCUCAACCUGGGAAUGGCAUUGGAAACUGGCGGACUCGAGUGUGGCAGAGGGGGGUGGAAUUCCGCGUGUAGCAGUGAAAUGCGUAGAGAUGCGGAGGAACACCGAUGGCGAAGGCAGCCCCCUGGGCUAACACUGACGCUCAGGCACGAAAGCGUGGGGAGCAAACAGG